AUCAACGCUGGCGGCGUGCCUCAGACAUGCAAGUCGAACGCGAAAGUUUCCUUCGGGAGGCGAGUAGAGUGGCGCACGGGUGAGUAACACGUAGGUAAUCUACCUUUGGGUGGGAAUAACAGCCGGAAACGGCUGCUAAUACCGCAUAAUGCAGCGGCUCGACAUCGAGACAGUUGUUAAAGCGGGGGAGUCGCAAGACCUCGCGCCUAAAGAAGGAGGCCUGCGGCGGAUUAGCUAGUUGGUGAGGUAAUGGCUCACCAAGGCAUCGAUCCGUAGCGGCCUGAGAGGGCGGUCGGCCACACUGACACUGACAUACGGGUCAGACUCCUACGGGA
Molecule: ribosomal RNA, 335 nt
Filed under: uncultured bacterium
Lineage: Bacteria
Description: bacterial SSU rRNA
Rfam family: Bacterial small subunit ribosomal RNA
Source: RNAcentral